This is a long non-coding RNA of Malaclemys terrapin pileata, 651 nucleotides long. RefSeq lists it as uncharacterized. The record is from RefSeq and is a predicted model, not a curated record. The transcript has 3 exons. NCBI's taxonomy places the organism in Eukaryota, Metazoa, Chordata, Testudines, Emydidae.
UUUGGGUGGCAGGGGUCAAGAGGCUGGGUGACUGAGGGACUGCUGGGGUUUGGGAGCUACAGGGGAGUGGGAGGGCAUACAAACCAGGGAUAAUUGGGCAUGAGAUACGUUUGGGCAAGGAAAUCCAGGAUUUCCCAAGGCAGUGGGAGGAAAAGAGCCCCCUGCAUCCUUAGGAGGUUCCCUGGCCUCUGGUGUGUCCUUCUCACAUUCCUAACUCAACAGCGAAUAACUCUUCGGAUUCAUUCCUCCACAUCGCAGGUUCCCAUCUCUCCACCCGCAUUCCGUUAUGGCACCUUUCUGCCUGGAGUCUGAGCACCUUCUGUACCCACAAGGACGGAGGUGUUCAUCCAUCCCUCCCCACCUUCCAGUCAGCAGGGGUGGAGACCAGCACAAAGCUACCCUAAAGGACUAGAGAAUUGGGCCCAUAAUCUUUCCGCCACAGCACACCCUCAGCCUUCCCUGCACCUUCUCUGGGUCUGCAAUCGUUGCCUGGAUGUGGGCGAUGAACGUCCGCAGAGCUUGCUUAGCUUCUGCGAAACAGGACACACACGAUGAAGAGACAAGGUGUCCGUGGAGACCUCUUCUGCUUUUGUCACGACAGAAUUUCAUGCUGAGUGCACCUGCAACGUGGACAAAAUGCUCUGCAGGCUG